Non-coding RNA from Pelodiscus sinensis (Chinese soft-shelled turtle), 327 nucleotides. Lineage: Eukaryota; Metazoa; Chordata; Testudines; Trionychidae. The record is from RefSeq and is a predicted model, not a curated record.
CUUGAUGGUUUGGAGAGUGGAAAGAUACCAAAGAUAGAACAAAGACAACCAAUGAGAGCCUUUAAAACACAGAGGCCAGUCAUCUUUGGCUGCUGAAUGUGAUGAAAUAUGGAACCUUAGUCUGCUAUUAUAACAGCCUGAAAACAAAGGAAUUUAAGAAGUAACAGAGUGGGAGGAAUACCAUCCUGCAGAGAUCCUGGAUAUGGAAUGAGGAAUGUAUCCCAGGAGAACUGAAGUCAGUGCAGGCCGGACCAUCGCUUCCUGCUGCUUCCAUUGGCUGGGAAUGGAGAACCACAACCAAUGGGAAUGCUCGAUCAUCUAGGGGAC